Molecule: ribosomal RNA, 775 nt
Filed under: Microbacterium sp. RNE 5
Lineage: Bacteria; Bacillati; Actinomycetota; Actinomycetes; Micrococcales; Microbacteriaceae
Description: partial 16S ribosomal RNA
Source: RNAcentral
GAUUACUAGCGACUCCGACUUCAUGAGGUCGAGUUGCAGACCUCAAUCCGAACUGGGACCGGCUUUUUGGGAUUCGCUCCACCUCACGGUAUUGCUGCCCAUUGUACCGGCCAUUGUAGCAUGCGUGAAGCCCAAGACAUAAGGGGCAUGAUGAUUUGACGUCAUCCCCACCUUCCUCCGAGUUGACCCCGGCAGUAUCCCAUGAGUUCCCACCAUUACGUGCUGGCAACAUAGAACGAGGGUUGCGCUCGUUGCGGGACUUAACCCAACAUCUCACGACACGAGCUGACGACAACCAUGCACCACCUGUUUACGAGUGUCCAAAGAGUUGACCAUUUCUGGCCCGUUCUCGUAUAUGUCAAGCCUUGGUAAGGUUCUUCGCGUUGCAUCGAAUUAAUCCGCAUGCUCCGCCGCUUGUGCGGGUCCCCGUCAAUUCCUUUGAGUUUUAGCCUUGCGGCCGUACUCCCCAGGCGGGGAACUUAAUGCGUUAGCUGCGUCACGGAAUCCGUGGAAUGGACCCCACAACUAGUUCCCAACGUUUACGGGGUGGACUACCAGGGUAUCUAAGCCUGUUUGCUCCCCACCCUUUCGCUCCUCAGCGUCAGUUACGGCCCAGAGAUCUGCCUUCGCCAUCGGUGUUCCUCCUGAUAUCUGCGCAUUCCACCGCUACACCAGGAAUUCCAAUCUCCCCUACCGCACUCUAGUCUGCCCGUACCCACUGCAGGCCCGAGGUUGAGCCUCGGGAUUUCACAGCAGACGCGACAAACCGCCUACG